Molecule: long non-coding RNA, 417 nt
Organism: Scaptodrosophila lebanonensis
Lineage: Eukaryota; Metazoa; Arthropoda; Insecta; Diptera; Drosophilidae
Exons: 2
Source: RefSeq, a predicted model, not a curated record
UGGAAGUGAGUUGCAGCAGCCGCUAAUCAUAAUAAUUGAUUUGUAAAUAUUUUCUUUCCAUUGCAAUUGCAAUUGCAACACUAAUUAUAAAUCACACAAGCAAAAUUUCUAGCAAAAAAAUUCCAAUUCAAAGAAUUAGCGCCAUGCCCUGUAUAGUUUGCAUUGCGGCUCCCAUUUUGUAUCCAAUUGCUGUGGUCGUCUGGUACAAGAUCAUUCAACCCACCUUAGCUUGGUUAGCGCCUCCGGAGGAGAGACCGCAGCACCAGAGCCGUCGACCCCACUAUAGUCAGCGCCGAUCGGCACCAGUCAGAUGCCAUAAUAAUCGCUGUCCCUUCUGUGUUGGAUGCGUGCGCCAUUAAAGGCAGUAUAAUCUACAUAUUUCGGAUACUUCUUAAUAAAUAUUAAUUUUGGGUCGUA